This 334-nucleotide ribosomal RNA is filed under the name uncultured Deferribacteres bacterium. RNAcentral's name for it is "bacterial SSU rRNA". It matches the Rfam family "Bacterial small subunit ribosomal RNA", at positions 28 to 351 of the family's 1533-position model. The record is from RNAcentral. Lineage: Bacteria; Pseudomonadati; Deferribacterota; Deferribacteres.
GACGAACGCUGGCGGCGUGCUUAACACAUGCAAGUCAAGGGGAAAGGUUAAUUUCGGUUGACCGAGUAUACUGGCGAACGGGUGAGUAACACGUAGGUAACCUGCCUAUGAGAUUGGGAUAACACUGCAAACGUGGUGCUAAUACUGGAUGACGCCUUUUGCUCACAUGAGCGGGAGGUUAAAGCGAGCUUUGGCUUGUGCUCAUAGAUGGACCUGCGUCUCAUUAGCUAGUUGGCGGGGUAACGGCCCACCAAGGCGACGAUGGGUAGCCGACCUGAGAGGGUGACCGGCCACACUGGGACUGAGAUACGGCCCAGACACCUACGGGUGGCAG